This 424-nucleotide long non-coding RNA is filed under the name Vigna radiata. RNAcentral describes it as "long non-coding RNA (VRAD_LNC016017)". The record is from RNAcentral. Lineage: Eukaryota; Viridiplantae; Streptophyta; Magnoliopsida; Fabales; Fabaceae.
GGGGAGGCUACGGAUAGAAAGCCAGUAAUUAGUAUUAGGCUCUUUUCACCGAGGGAUCUGGUUAAGGAUAGGCUAAGAAAGUUGCAUGACAAUUAAUUAAUCAAACUAAUAAUUCAAGAGGAGUAAAUAAGAGAGUGUGGAUAAGAUGAANUUGUAAACCCCCNACAACUCCAUUCAUCCAUUGUUUUCUUUUGUCAAUUGAAUCAUUCUCUUUUNCAUGUUAAUAUUUUGUUCUCAAAUCCAAUUUAUUAAUUUUUAUUUUCAAGUCUUACGAUAUUAAUUCGCACGAACGAUAAGGCCUUUCGAGUCUCUUGGGAAAACAGUACUUGGUCUUACCAUUUAUAUUACUUGAACGAUUUGGUACACUUGCCAACCCGUCAACACUACACCAAAACCAAAACCACUGCUCUGUGCCUACUGCUGA